This is a small nucleolar RNA of Lactuca sativa (garden lettuce), 107 nucleotides long. The record is from RefSeq and is a predicted model, not a curated record. NCBI's taxonomy places the organism in Eukaryota, Viridiplantae, Streptophyta, Magnoliopsida, Asterales, Asteraceae.
AGAUCAUGAUGUGGGCAAUUUCUUAGUAAACUUUUGUACCUCUUCCAUGCCUCAUACAAUGACUCUCCAGCUUGUUGCUCAAAAUUAGCUAUGGAUUUCUUCAACUU